This 254-nucleotide ribosomal RNA is filed under the name uncultured bacterium. RNAcentral describes it as "partial 16S ribosomal RNA". It matches the Rfam family "Bacterial small subunit ribosomal RNA", at positions 524 to 776 of the family's 1533-position model. The record is from RNAcentral.
UACGGGGGGAGCAAGCGUUGUUCGGAUUUACUGGGCGUAAAGGGCGCGUAGGCGGCCUCUGCAAGUCGACUGUGAAAUCUCCGGGCUUAACCCGGAAAGGUCAGCCGAUACUGCAGGGCUAGAGUGCAGAAGGGGCAACUGGAAUUCUCGGUGUAGCGGUGAAAUGCGUAGAUAUCGAGAGGAACACCUGCGGCGAAGGCGGGUUGCUGGGCUGACACUGACGCUGAGGCGCGAAGGCUAGGGGAGCGAACGGG